AACGGUCUAUACCUGCGGUACCUGCGGAAGGAUCAUUACAUGGCGGAGGAGGUGGGCACCUAGUAAAACAAAACCCUAGGUGUGUUGCCUACCACGCUUUCUACCCUUGUCUAUUUGCACCUUUUGUCGUUCCCUCGGUGGGUCUUGAACCUGCCGGCGGCAACUUUCAAAAACCUUUUGUAGUUAGUAUCUAAUUCUUCUGAUCAAAUAUUCAAUCGUUACAACUUUCAGCAAUGGAUC
Molecule: unclassified non-coding RNA, 240 nt
Filed under: soil metagenome
Description: partial contains 5.8S ribosomal RNA, internal transcribed spacer 2, and large subunit ribosomal RNA
Source: RNAcentral